Long non-coding RNA from Peromyscus californicus insignis, 10920 nucleotides. RefSeq lists it as uncharacterized. Lineage: Eukaryota; Metazoa; Chordata; Mammalia; Rodentia; Cricetidae. The record is from RefSeq and is a predicted model, not a curated record. The transcript is spliced from 3 exons.
ACCAUGGGUUGAAUAUUUGUGUCCCCCAAAUUCAUGUUGAGACAUCAUCUCCAAUGUGGUGGUGUUUGGGGAUGAAGUCUUUGGGGGAGUAUCAGCUCAUGAGUGGGAUUAGUGCCUUUAUAAAAUGGACUCCAGAGAGCUCCCUCAGACUUCUCCAUGCAACAACACAAGCUGUUGUCUGGGAACCAAGAGUUGGGUCUCACCAGACACUGACUACCAACAACCUGAUUGGGACUUCAACCUCCUUAACCAUGGGGAAUAAAUGCUGUGAAUUAGAAGGCACCCAGGCUGUAUUUUGUUAUUUGCCUUAAUGGAUUAAGAUAACUUAAAAACAGCUUAGAGAGUGAUGGCAGCAUUUUUUAAAUUAAUUAAUGAAUUAUAGUUAUUUUGUUGUUUAAGAAUUUCAUGCAUGCAUUAAUACAUUCUGAAUAUAUCUUCCUUUACCUGCUAAUUCUUCUGUCCCCUUACUACUUUAUUCUCUCAACCACAUGUCCACCCUCCAUCCAUAGCAUCAUAGCACAUUCUUGCACUAUGAAAGCUAAUCAGCAGGGAUGAAGCUUCCAGGUAGAUACCAGCUUAAUUUCCCCAGGUCUUAAUCUUCAGAAAUAGGGUUAAAUUAAAGAGAGUAACAAAGAACAAUGACCUGAGUCUAGGAGACAGGAUGGGUGUGCUGCAGAGGGCAGCAUGUAAGCCAGGCCCUCUGGAGCCCAGGGGAACAUGAGUGGGUUCCAGAUGUCAGUCACUGAACUUCUUUACACUGUCGAACUUCAGUUUUGCUUUGGUCUGACUGUAACUGCGCUGGUUCUUUCUUCUUGGAAUAGAAUGGAUGCAACUUAGUUUUCAUUUUACAGGAGCCCCCACAGUAAAGGGAUUUUGAACUUCUAAAGAGACAGAGUUCUAGAUAGGCUUUUGACAGAUAUUUUAGAGACUUUGGGUAUUUUAGAGAGGCUUGAACUCUAAAAGGAACUUUUGGUGCUUCAUUUACUUUUUUGGAUUUUAUUUAUUUUUAUUUUAUUUUUAUGAGUGUUUUGACUGAAUGUAGAGGCCAGUAGAGGGGACCAGAUCCCAUGGGGCUGGAGUUCCAGAUAGUUGUGAGUCACCUUGUGGGUGUUGGGGACUGAAUUUAGGGCUGAGCCAUCUCUCCAGCCUCAACUUUUGGAUGCUUUAGAGAGACUGAACUUUUGAAGCAUUUGAGGUUUUAAAGACUGUGGAACUUUUAAAGGUUGUAAUAUUUUAUGUUGUGUGGUGAUAUUUUAUUUGUGCUCUAAUAAAUAAAGCUUGCCUGAAGAUCAGAGGAAACAGCUAGCCAUUCAUUAUAAGUAAACACAAAAGUCCUGCAACGUUAGCACACACAUUUAAUCCUAUCACUUGGGAGGCAGGGAUAUAUCUAGAUCUAUGUAAGUUCAAGGCCACACUGGGAACAGAGCUAGGUGUGGUGGCACAUGUCUUAAAUUCCAACACUAGUUAACAUGGAGGUCUGGAGGUUCGUACAGACAGACAGGAAGUGACAGAGCUGGGCAGGAAGAGGAAGUGAUGUAACUGGAAAGAGAGAGCAAAUCAGAUGGCAGAACAGCAAGGCAUAUAGGUGUGGGUAGACAGGAAGUAUCUCGCUUUUGGAAGCUGUGGAGUUGGUGAGGUGAGGUUAGCAUGUGGCUGUUCCUAUUCCUCUGGUCUCUCUCGGGUUUUCAUCGCUAUAUCUGGCUCUGUGUUUUUUUUAUUUAAUAAGACUGUUUAGAAAUUUGUCUAUAAUGUUGUGAUAUUAAUAUUAACAUGACAUACAAUCCUCAGUAUGAAAAACAAAACAAAACAAACAGCCAGGCAUGACGGUACAUAUUUUGUAAUCCUAGCAUUUUGAGAGAUGAACUAAGAGGAUCAGGAGUUCAAGGCCAGCAUGAGCUAGAGAGUUAGUGGGUAGCCUGAGAUACAUGAAACCCUAUUGGGGACAGGGGAAACAGAAACAUUUUCCAAGUUAGUGGAGAAGAAAAAUAGAUUUUUUUUCAUACAAUAUAUUCUUAUCACAGUUUUGCCUCCUUCAGCUUCUCCCAGAUGCUCCCCUCCUUCAUACCUACCCAAAUCCAUGUAUUUUUUCUCCCAUUAGAAAAUAAAUAGGCAUCUAAAAUAGAAAAAAAAUAGACAAAGAGAAAGCACAAGAAACAUAUAAAGACAUAAAGAUGCACACACAGAAAUCCUAUUAAAAACACGAAAUCAGAAACCACAGUAUGUUGUUGGUUGUUUUCUGCUCUUUUGGGGGGCCUGCCACCCAGCUUCCAAAUAAAUCACACAUGGAGGCUUAUUCUUAAUUCUGCAUGUCUGGCCUUAGCUUGACUUGUUGCUAGCCAGCUUUCCUUAACACAUCUGUCUUUUGCCUCUGGGCUUUUCCUGUUCUCUUACUUCUGUAAAUCUUACUCUUACUCUGUGACUUGCUGUGUAGCUUGGUGGCUGACCCCUGAUGUCCUCUUCCUUUUUUUUCUUCUUCUCCCUUUCCUCCUUCUAUAUAUUCUCUCACCUCACUGUUGGUCAUUCAGUUCUUUAUUAGACCAUCAGAUAUUUUAGACAAGCACAGUAACACAGCUUCACAGAGUUAAACAAAUACAACAUAAAUAAAAGUAGCAUACCUUAAAAUAAUAUUCCGCAACAGUAGUAUAUAAGCAAAAAACCUCUAAAGUUGAAAAAAGCUCAGACAAAGCAUUAUGAGACACAAAAAACUCCACAAAUACCAUCAAGUUUGGAUUGUAUUGGGCAGCUUCUGUUGGGCAUGGGAACUGCCCUUAAGUAUGGUUUGUAUACCCAGUGAGAUUCCCUUGUAGAAAAUUAUUUUUCCUUUGGCAGCAGUUAUUUAUUGGAGAUACCCUCUAAAUGAGGGAUAGUGGUUUGUGUCCUCUUCCCCUGUAGGCCAUGGAACCCCAUUUGUCCCUGUAGAUGGGGGAAAAUACAGAGACCCACAACUGGACAAUGUGCAGAGAAUUCUCAAUUCCUAGAAUUACCCUUGAAAGAAGCAGGCCCUGUGCAUGCUGCCACAGUCUCUGUGAGUUUAUGUUGUGUCUGAAGGCAUUGUUUCUUUGGUGUCUUCCAUCUUCACUGGCUUUUAUAAUCUUUUGGCUUUCUUUUUCACAGUUUCCCAAGCCCUGGGGGAAAGGAUUUGAUGGAGACAUGCCAUUUAGGACUGAGUGUUUCAAGGUCCCUCCUUCUCUUCACAUUGCCCAGUUGUGGGUCUCUAUAUUUGUUCCCAUCUAUUGCAGGAGGAAGCUUCUCUGAUGAUGGCUGAGCAUAGCAGAAUGCUGUUGUCAUUUUAUUGCUACAUUCCUUUUGCAGAAUAGUAGCAGUCGUUUUCUCCUAGGUCCCUGGGUCAUCUCAUCUCAGGGUCCUGGUCACCUGAAUAGUGUCAGGGAUGGGUUCUCACUCAUGGAGUGGGUCUUAAAUCAGAUAUUGGUUGAUAACUCCCACAAGCUUUGUGAGCUGCUGCACUUGUGCAUCUUACAGGCAGGUCACCAUUGUAGACUGAAGCAUUUGUAGCUGAGAUGGUGUUUACCUUUCUCCUCUGCUAGCAUGUAGAGUUAUCUUCCAGCACCAUGAACACUAGUUAGCAGGGGUGAAGGCUCUAAGUAGGUACCAACUUAACUUCUCUGUAUUCAGUGAAUUUUGUAGGUGCUGUCUUCAGCAAUGGGGAUUGCGAUAAGUUUCAAGAGAAAACAACAACCUUGGCAAUAGCCUGGGUUGUUUGGGGGUUCCCAGAGGGCCCUUUUGGCCAACAACUCAAUUAGCUAUAACUUAGUCCUGGCACUGGGGAUUCCAUUUGGUGGAGAGAGAUGUUUAGUUGGGGCUUUGCCUCCCCCAUUAAUUGGUGAUUCUGUUUAGGUUUCUUUAAUAUAUGUAACCUACUGUACCCCUCAAAUGUCCCUUAGUUUGAGUUGUUCUUCCUUGUAUUCCUUCCUUCAGCUGGCUCUUACUGCCUCUUCCCCAUUUGAUCCUCGCAUUGCAGCCCCCGCCCAUCUAUAACUAUCUAUCCUAUCUCCCCUUCCUGGGGAGAUCCUUCUCUCCCCUCUACUCCCUUACUCAGUAAGUGACUUCUGUGGUUCCAUGGAUUAUAACCUGCCAAAAUGCACAAAGAAAAUCCUGUGGGGCCUCAAUCCUGUACAAAGAACUUCAGGCAAUUGAGGAAGGCUGAGAGAGGGAGAAGUGGCUUUCCCACGGAAGAGCAAGUUGCCCAGGGCUAAACAGCCCUGAGAGCAUACAUACAAUACAUACAAGUAACAUGAUAUGGGCUCAAUAGGUGAUAUUUGGGGAAAAUAUGUAUAUGUAAAUACAUAUGUGCAUGCAAUAAGAAUAAAAAAGAGGCCGUGAAUUUGAAGGAGAGUGGGGAGGGCAUAUGGGAGACUUGGAAGGUAGAAAGGGAAGGGAGAAAUGUAAUUAAAAUAUAUUAUCAAAAUAAACAAAAUAUAUGAAAAAAGACAGAAAAAACCCACUAGGAAGUUAAAAAAAAAAUAAAAUCACAGUCAGUAACUGCAGAAGUUUGAAGCAUACUAUUAAUACAUUUAAUAUAACCAACAUAUGGAGGAAGCUGCUUCCAACAGCAGAGUGCACAUUUCUUUAAAAUGCACAUUGAACAUUUAUAAAAACUAACAUGCAGUUUUUCAUAAAGCAAACUCUAGAAAUAUCAGAAGAUGAAAUCAUAUAGAGUAGUUCUUUAGGUGGAAUUAAGCUAAAAGCAAAAAGGCCACUAGGAAAUCCUGACAUGUUUAGCCUCAACACACACAUAUAAAUAAUCUAUAGGUGAGAGAAGCAUUUUGAUCAGGAUGACAAUUGUUUGUAGUUCUUCACUGAGGGUUGAGGCUCCUAGAGAUUUACCACAUUCACACAGGCAUGCCAUUUGGGGUUGUCAUUGUUCAGGUCUUGUUUAAGCAGCCAUGUUGUUGAGAUUUCAUGGGUUUAGCUUCCCCUCAUUCCUAGAAGACACAAUCUCACAGCAGAACUCCUAGUUCUCUGGCUCUUAAGAUCUUUCUGCCCCUCUCUUCCAUGAUGGACCCUGAUCAUUGGGUGUAGGAUUUGUUUUGUAAAUGUAUUAACUGGGGUCCAGCUUCCCCCAUGGUCAGUUGUCCACUGCAUUUUAACUAGUUGUGAUUUUCUGGAAUGGUCUCUUCCUUUCGCAAAACCCAAACUAAAACCGAAACUUUGAUUUGGGGUGAAAGCUGCACUUAACCAUUAGUUAAAGAAAAUCUGUGACCACAAAGACAUAAGCAAAAAUAACAAAACUAUUCACAACUUCAAAACCACUUAUCUCUUUAGUGUUCAGUUAGAGAAACACAUUUCAAAAAUCCAUGUUAUGUCAUGCCUCAGCUUCCUUUCCUUCCUCCUUCCAUGGGGUCAGGCUGACCAGAACCCCUGUCUUGGAUGGCUCUUCCACAUUCCCCUCAGUUGUCUAUUUCCCCCUCAGGAUCAGCCCCAGGCUGCAUGGUUCCCUAAAGGACUCCAGCUUGGGCCCCUGGCCAUACAUGCAGAGGCACUGUCAUGCUCGCUUUGGAGAACGAAUUUCUCAGCUACCUUCUCAUUUUUGUCCUUUGUUUUUUUGUCUUGUGUUUUUUUUUCUAGAAUAGAAGGUUCUAUGCAUUUGCCUCUGUUGCUGUAGGUGGAAAUCAAUGUCUUACAGGUAAAAUGCUUCCAGGGAAACCAUCCCCCUUUGGAGCAACAGACCCCUUUGUCUGAUUUUAGGUUUUUCUCUGCAAACUUCUGUCUCCCACAAGUGCUGGGUCGGGGACUAAAUGGCCAUGUUUAAUAUGCAGCUAAUGCAGGUUUCCCCUCCAAUGGCAGCUGCCCCAGUAGGAAAGCCCUUUGGAGCCCCAUUAAAGGAUUUGGCUCAGUUCCUUCUCACUAUGUGUGCAAUCCUUUGGUACUUCCAAAAGGUCCUUAAUGAAAACACUCAACCUUGCUAACAAAGAGGCCAACACAAUUGAUCAUCUUGGCAGAUUUUAUGGACCCACUCUUAAAGUUCAAAUACUCCUGAUGGAAGGAGCAUCCUCAGGUGAACAAAUACACAAAUCUUUAGGAAUGCAAGUAUCUGAAAGAGCAAGCUCUUCAUUUUCUGGUCAAUGAUUGUCAAAUGUGAGUGUAUACCAGAAUGACCCACAGGAUCUGCUAAGGCUCAAUUUUAACUGGACCCCUCCCUAAAUAUUUCUGAUUCAAUGAGUACUAGGGGCUAAAUUAUGUCAAUUCAUAUUGCAGCACUAACCUCCAAUGUGCUGUUUGGGGGCAGAGCUGUUAGGAGCUAAUUAAGAUUAAAUCAGAUGAUGUGGAUGGGAACACACACCCCAGAGGGCACAGAGGAAAGCUGUGUGAGGUGAGAAUGCAACCUGACUGUGGCCAGCCUUCUACAAGUCAGGAAGAGAGGCCUCAUCAGAAGGCAUGACCUCUGAGGGCACUGUCAUCUUGCACUUCGGUAUCCAGAACUUUGAGAAACUAACUUUCUGUUGUUUAAGCCCCCAGUGGGCCAUAUUCUGUUAUGAUGGUCUAAAUGUCCUCACAGUUGUCUGGGAAAUGGCUGGCUACCUUCACCUUCAUUUGAAACACCAUUCCUGUGGUUACAGCUGACUUAGGGCUCACACUUGGAAAACUCAUUGCAGAGCUCACUGUCCAUAGGCCACUUGAUGGCCUUUAUGACUUUUUAAUAACUUUUUAAAAUUAUCCCUUUGGAAUUGAAAGGAUGGUCUUGAACUUAGGAGUCAACGGCUUGACUGGGGAGAUAGCUGUGAUGGUAAAGCAGUUGCCUUACAAGAAUGAGGACCUGAGUUCAGAUCUCUAGAACCCAUGUAAAGCUAGGACAGUAUGUGCAUCUCUUGUUAUAGUAAUCUUGUGCCAAGAUGGGAGAAAGAGAGGGAAAUCUCUGGCCACUCUUGGGCUAGCUAGCCUGGCAAAUGCAGUGACAAAAGACAAAGAGACUCUGACAGAAGUGUGAAGGCAAGGGCAAACACCCAAGGUUGUCUUGUGACCGCCAUAUGUACACAGUGGCACAUGUGCUUCUGUGCACACACAGAGAUGUAGCUGGAGCUUUCUCCAGUUCUGCCAGGGCCCGCAGCCACUUAGACCCAAAUAAACACACAGACGCUUAUAUUAUUUAAACUGUUUGGCCUAAUGGCUCAGGCUUCUUGCUAUCCAGUUCUUACAUCUUAAAUUAACCUAUUUCUAUUAAUCUAUAAGUUGUCAUGUGGCUUGUGGCUUAUUGGUACUUUGCAUCUUACUUCUCAUGGCGGCAGCUGGCAGCAUCUCCUGACUCAGCCUUCCACUUCCCAGCAUUCUUCUCUCUGCUUAUCCCACCUAUACUAUGCUUCCUGCCUGGCUACUGGCCAAUCAGCAUUUUAUUUAUCAAUCAAUCAUAGCAACACAUUUUCACAGCAUAUAGAAAGAAAGAAAGAACAGCUCCUGCCUGUUGCUUUUCAUGGAGCAAUAUGCUCUGCUAUCUCUGUCACCUUCUUCCUGCAUCUUACAAGAUGAACCUGUAGGAUGUUGGUACCAUGCUGGGUAGAUACAGUGUUCCCAACAAAAGCAGCAAAAACUAAUGCUGUACUUUUUCCAACCACAAAGGAGAAUUUGGGUUUUUUAUCUAGAUGUGGGCCAGAGGUAAUUUUUCAGUUACAUAAAAUUGUGUACCUGCUCUCCAUUCUGGCAUUAGAAAAGUAAAAUAUUACUCAGGAGCUGGAAAAGGACAUUAGGUGAUGUGUCACAUCUGAUUCUUAUGUCUCUUUUGAUGUAUAACUUGUAUCUUGGAUUUUAUGCCAUCCAACAGAUGCACCUGUCUAGACUCUGACAUCUCCAGCAUCAGCUUCUACUUCUGGACCAGCGUUGGCCUCAGAUUGCUGAAGGUGUUAGAAGUGUCAGUGUGAGAGUAGAUUGCACUUCAGUAUUCCCGCCUUUCCUCCUUUUUCCACAUGGUCUCUAGGGCAGACUGGCCUCCAACCCCCUGUGUAAGCUGAGGCUGACCUUGAACUUCUGAUCCUCAUGUGCUGGAAUUACAGAUGCUGAAAAUCCCGGCUCUCAACACAACCAGUCCAUCCCCGCAUUUGCUUUAUCUCCGAAUGCACUGACCACAGCCUUGGAGUAGUAAUUGCCGAGCAACUGCCAACAAGGUGAUAACUGCAAACAACUCAAUUUGUAAUAGUGCUUUGUCCUGAGGUGACAUCACACUGAAGGCUGCUCUUUGAGUGCUGUGGUGCCAGCUCAUGGACUAGUCUCUCUGUGAUCAUUUUGCUGCCUUGGUUCUGGACUCACUUACACAUUAAUUUGCUGCACAUUGCUUUAGGUUUGCAAUGGCCUUUUAAAGUUCAGGUUUGGUGGCCCCUGUUUUGGGUAACUGUUGCCUUGCUUGCUGACCUUGACCUUGAUAUCCUCCCUAUGCUAAUUCCCUGCCAGGUUCCACCCUCCUGAAUGCUUAAGGGAAGUUCCAUGUCUGUGUAUCCUGCAUAAUGGGCAUUAACAGCUUAGAUGCAAGAUUGUAAAACAUCGGUAGCGAACUUCUGCCCUCCAGGGUUCUCCCAAUGUGCUGUAAGCCUGUAUUUAAGACCUCUUCCCUCCUUCAAUAAACAGCAUUUGGCAUUAAAAAAAAAAAGACUUCUAUCCAGAAGUCCAUCAAAAUUCAGUAGUAGAGUGUGGGGGUCAGCAGAAGAUGGAGUGGGGUGAGGAAGGACUAGAGAAGGACACAAGGUUACUUUGACGAGUGACAACAGUGUCUACUAUCUUGGCUAAGAUGAUGUCUCACAAAUGUAUCUAUGUAUCAAAAUUUGCCAAGUUACUUGUUUUAAAGAUAUUCUCAUUUUUUAUGUCAUUCUACCUCAAUAAAACUGUUUAAAAGUUAAAAAAAAAAUCAGGUUUGGUGUAGUCAAGGUUUAGUUAAAGAAGGUUAGCUUCUAUCCCAGCCUUCUUAAUCCUCUUUCUUGUGCUCUCUCACCUCCCUCCUCCAACCAACCAACCAACCAACCAACCAACCAACCAACCAACCAACCAACUUCCUUUUUCUUUGUAUAAACAAAAAUUGUGUGUGUAUGUGUGUGUUGUAUGUACACAUGUGCACAUGUGUACCCAUGUGUACCUGUAUAUUCAUGUGUCUGUGAAGGCCACAAGUUGAUACGAGGUGUCUGCCUCUAUCAUACUCCACAUUAUUAUUAUUAUUAUUUAGAUAAGCUUUCUUUUUGAACCUAGAGCUCACUAUUUUAACUAAGCUGGCUGUGCCGAAAGGCCCCAGUGUCUACCAGUCUCUACCCAUGCUGGAGUUACAGACGUGUGCCGCCAUGCCCGGCUUUUACAUGGGUGCCGAGGAUGUAAAGUCCUCUCCGCAUACUGGCAUUGCAAGCAUGACGCACUGAACCAUGUCCUCAGCCCCUGUAGAAGCAUGUUUCAAAAAUAUAAGCAAAUAUUCUUUUCUCUGCUUUCUGAGAUAAAGGUUACAUACUAUUCCUGAUUUUUUCUCCAUCUUGCUACCUUAAUAUAUCACAGCACUAUUUAAGACGUGGCAUAAAAUACAGACUCACAGUCUCUUAUCUGUAUGUGCCAAAUCCUCAAAUCGUCAGAACUCUAGAGGUUUAUUAUAAGCCUGCAGCAGACUCAUUUAUAGAAAAACUCAGAUCUUAACAUAUGAAAACGCUGCCUCCAUUUGUAACUUGCCAGCACGUUGAUAUGUUUUUGAUGCUGAUGUGACUCAUAUGUUUGGUUAGAGGCAUAGCCUCGUGCCUCAAUAGAAAUGUUAAGUAGUAGGUGAUAUGUGCAGUGUCUCAGUUCUCGGGAGCAUGGAAAUGAUGAAUUCAGAGACGUAUUUGGCUCCAAGCAUCUCUGGGAAGGGCUCUGAACCUGUAGCAGAUGAGUUGUUUAUCAGUCACCUUCAGUCAGUCUCUCCCUGACUCUCAUGUUCAGAGCAUUUUUAAGGUUGGGACUACAGGACCAGCCAGAUGGUUUAUCAGGGAGAAAUGCUUCCCACAUAAGCCUGACAACCUGAGUGUGAUUCCCAGAACCCAUGCAAAGGUGAGAAGACCCAGUUCCACAGAGUUGUUUUCCGAGCUAUCUAAGAACAUGUCUCCCCCUUCUCCCCACCAAAAUAAGAAAGAAUAAAAGAAUGAAACACAAUUUGGAUAGGAAGCACAUAGAUUUUUCUUUUUCAAGCAGAGUUGGGUAGCAGUAACCACCCAACUGUCAUAAGAAGUAAAAAGAAGCCCCCUUUGUGUUCUCGAUUAUAUCUUAUUCCAACACAUGCCUUUUCCUUGUGAAAGACUUAAGCAUCUGCAUGCUCUUGACAGAGGCCCUGGACUUCAGUUGAGGAUGUCCUAGGACCAUUUUAUGAGAAGGAUUUGAAAAGCCAGCUUGUUAUUUUCUAUGUGCUCCUGUCCCUUUGCUGGAGGCUGACCAGAAUGAAUUGGAGGUUAAGGUUGAUUUAAUGUCAACAUGCCACAGUUAGAGUCAUCUGAGUAGGAACCCAAUCCUGAAGAACUGUCCUGGCUGCCAUCAUUUAUGGGGAAGGUCCAUCUGGAUUGUGGAUGGUCCCUUCUGGUAUCAGGCACAUAAAACGCCCAUAGCAGGAAGAAGAUGACUGCCUUUUGCUCUCACAGCCUCCUCUCCUGCCCGAGUUGAUUCACACUGCUGCUGUUACUGCUGCUGCUGCUGCUGCUCAUUCCUUUGGUGAUCUCAGAACCGGGGUUUCCAGCAUUGACUAAGGAUCAGCAGCUCUCCAGGAACCUUGUGUGUUUGGGGACCCAGAUUGAGACCUCCAGCCUGUGGAUAGAACAACUGCUGGUUUGUCAACCUCCCUAGCAAGGGACAGUGACUUUGGAUUACUCCAGAUGCUUGACACCCAAGCAUCUACCCGAGUUUCUGCUCUCAGAAGGAUUCAGCUGAUAUUACUUUGUUAAUGUAAACUGACUUAAUAAAUUAUUUAUAUAUGUGAAUUCA